This is a long non-coding RNA of Cucumis melo (muskmelon), 916 nucleotides long. RefSeq lists it as uncharacterized. The transcript is spliced from 7 exons. NCBI's taxonomy places the organism in Eukaryota, Viridiplantae, Streptophyta, Magnoliopsida, Cucurbitales, Cucurbitaceae. The record is from RefSeq and is a predicted model, not a curated record.
AACUCCUCCAACACGUACACACUUGAUUUGAAGACCACGAACCUGAAGGAAGAAAAAUGAGGGACCAUUCAGGAAGAACAUGAAUACUGUCAAAUCACCAAUCAUCCAAAUAGCCUCGACUGAAUGGUGAACUCAAAAAGAGAUACCAUCUUAAGGGAGAAUUUCGAAAAUCCCACUUCUGAAAAUCCGAGGAAUCUCACGACCCUAAGAUAGAUGGUGAGCAAAAAGCAAACUACAUCAACGAGGAAAACAAUCAAAUCUAAAGGAAAGAAAGAAGAAAAACAAAUGAAGAAUGAAAAAGAAGUGAAACGUUGUGUCGCCGUCGGUCAUCCGUGAAACGCCGCCACCAACGUAACCUCAAAAGCCAACCUCCACUUUCCUACAAGCCGAGCAAAGUCGAGUUGUACCUAAGCUGCGAAUCCAAGCUGAACGUAGCGAGUCGCGAGCUGCAAGCUGAGCUGAACCGAGCCGAACCGAGUCGCGAGUCGAGCUGCCUCCCGAGCCAAGCUAUUUUUCCAAGCCAAUCUCCCUGUUUACCGAGCCGCGUAUGUCGUUUCUAUCCAUGCUGAGUCCCGGUGUUAGAGAUGUGACGCUCCAGUUUUGGGGUUUUAAGGCAAGUGUAGUUGGAGCCAACUCUCAUUUACUUGGGUGGAUUCGUUUAGACAUUGAAUCGAACAAGGAUUGUAGCUAGACUUCAGGCAAAGGUAACGCGAAGGGCAGACGUGCGAGAGGCAAGAAGGAUACAUGAAGGCCAUAUGGACAUGUCUAGUUUUUUUAUGCUUCUGCUGAACGUAUUUAUUGUUUCUGUUUCUUUUUACUUAUUAAAUGGAGUCAUGGUUAGAACAAUUGUUUUCCUGUCUUGUUUUGAUGACUUCAUGGAUUAUGUGUUGGAACUUUUGGAAAGUUAUUUAAAAUA